This 254-nucleotide ribosomal RNA is filed under the name uncultured bacterium. Its description in RNAcentral is "partial 16S ribosomal RNA". It matches the Rfam family "Bacterial small subunit ribosomal RNA", at positions 524 to 777 of the family's 1533-position model. The record is from RNAcentral.
UACGGAGGGAGCUAGCGUUGUUCGGAAUUACUGGGCGUAAAGCGCGCGUAGGCGGCUUUGUAAGUUAGAGGUGAAAGCCCGGAGCUCAACUCCGGAACUGCCUUUAAAACUGCAUCGCUUGAAUCCAGGAGAGGUGAGUGGAAUUCCGAGUGUAGAGGUGAAAUUCGUAGAUAUUCGCAAGAACACCAGUGGCGAAGGCGGCUCACUGGCCCGGUACUGACGCUGAGGUGCGAAAGCGUGGGGAGCAAACAGGG